UAAUCCUGCUCAGUAUAAGAGGAACUGCAGGUUCAGACAGUGGGUGUCUGUGCUUGGCUGAGGAGCCAAUGGUGCAGAGGAGCCAAUGGUGCAAAGCUGCCAUCUGUGGGAUUAUGACUCAAUGCCUCUAAAUCAGAAUCCCCA
RNAcentral lists this non-coding RNA (144 nucleotides) under Atractosteus spatula (alligator gar). RNAcentral describes it as "Eukaryotic large subunit ribosomal RNA". It matches the Rfam family "Eukaryotic large subunit ribosomal RNA", at positions 3020 to 3146 of the family's 3401-position model. Lineage: Eukaryota; Metazoa; Chordata; Actinopteri; Semionotiformes; Lepisosteidae. The record is from Rfam by way of RNAcentral.